GUGGCUCAAAGGACUAGGGCACCGGCCCCAUAUGCCGGAGGUGCUGGGUUCAAACCCAGCC
RNAcentral lists this transfer RNA (61 nucleotides) under Otolemur garnettii (small-eared galago). The record is from Rfam by way of RNAcentral. Lineage: Eukaryota; Metazoa; Chordata; Mammalia; Primates; Galagidae.